AAUAUUGGACAAUGGGGGCAACCCUGAUCCAGCCAUGCCGCGUGAGUGACGAAGGCCUUAGGUUUGUAAAUCCCUUUUGGCGGGGACGAUAAUGACGGUACCCUCAGAAUAAGCCCCUGCCAACUUCGCGCCAUCAGCCGCGGUAAUACGAAGGGGGCUAGCCUUGUUCGGAAUGACUGGGCGUAAAGAGCACGUAGGCGGACUUGUUAGGCAGGGGUGAAAUCCCGGGGCUCAACCUCGGAACUGCCUUUGAAACUGCAAGUCUUGAGUCCGAGAGAGGUGAGUGGAAUUCCUAGUGUAGAGGUGAAAUUCGUAGAUAUUAGGAAGAACACCAGUGGCGAAGGCGGCUCACUGGCUCGGUACUGACGCUGAGGUGCGAAAGCGUGGGGAGCAAACA
Molecule: ribosomal RNA, 397 nt
Filed under: uncultured bacterium
Lineage: Bacteria
Description: partial 16S ribosomal RNA
Rfam family: Bacterial small subunit ribosomal RNA
Source: RNAcentral